UCCGUAGGUGAACCUGCGGAAGGAUCAUAGCAAUCGUCU
Molecule: ribosomal RNA, 39 nt
Filed under: Tulasnella calospora
Lineage: Eukaryota; Fungi; Basidiomycota; Agaricomycetes; Cantharellales; Tulasnellaceae
Description: partial 18S ribosomal RNA
Source: RNAcentral